Molecule: ribosomal RNA, 253 nt
Filed under: uncultured bacterium
Lineage: Bacteria
Description: partial 16S ribosomal RNA
Rfam family: Bacterial small subunit ribosomal RNA
Source: RNAcentral
UACGUAGGGGGCAAGCGUUAUCCGGAUUUACUGGGUGUAAAGGGAGCGUAGACGGCAUGGCAAGUCAGAUGUGAAAGCCCGGGGCUCAACCCCGGGACUGCAUUUGAAACUGUCAGGCUGGAGUGCAGGAGAGGUAAGCGGAAUUCCUAGUGUAGCGGUGAAAUGCGGAGAUAUUAGGAGGAACACCAGUGGCGAAGGCGGCUUACUGGACUGUAACUGACGUUGAGGCUCGAAAGCGUGGGGAGCAAACAGG